RNAcentral lists this ribosomal RNA (492 nucleotides) under uncultured bacterium. RNAcentral describes it as "partial 16S ribosomal RNA". It matches the Rfam family "Bacterial small subunit ribosomal RNA", at positions 30 to 507 of the family's 1533-position model. The record is from RNAcentral.
AUUGAACGCUGGCGGUAGGCCUAACACAUGCAAGUCGAACGGCAGCACAGUAAUAGCUUGCUCUUACGGGUGGCGAGUGGCGGACGUUUGAUGAAUACAUCGGAAUCUACUUUUUCGUGGGGGAUAACGUAGGCAAACUUACGCUAAUACCGCAUACGACCUACGUGUGAAAUCAUGGGAUCUUCGGACCUUGCGCGAUUGAAUGAGCCGAUGUCGGAUUAGCUAGUUGGCGGGGUAAAGGCCCACCAAGGCGACGAUCCUUAGCUGGUCUGAGAGGAUGAUCAGCCACACUGGAACUGAGACACGGUCCAGACUCCUACGGGAGGCAGCAGUGGGGAAUAUUGGACAAUGGGCGAAAGCCUGAUCCAGCCAUACCGCGUGGGUGAAGAAGGCCUUCGGGUUGUAAAGCACUUUUGUUGGGAAAGAAAAGCAGCAGGUUAAUACCCCGCUGUUCUGACGGUACCAAAAGAAUAAGCACCGGCUAACUUCGUG